UGCCAUGUAGGCCUGUGACCCGACACACGCAGGUAACGUGUGAAGCUGCAGCUUGUGUCUGAGGCGGCUGGCGCAGACUGGCAGCCUUUGUUCACGGUGUCCCUACAGGGCGAUAACAGGCACGUCGUUUUACAAGUCACUGCAGCUCGGAGAUCGCCUCCACAUACCUGAUCAGCAGGUUUUCGUGUCACAUCUGAAACCUGUUAAUGUUCUGAGGUCUGAAAGCCAAGAUGCACAGCAGCUUAAUGUGCCAACAACACACGUUUGGGGAGAAGUGUCAGGAGAAGCUGAAAGAAGCAGCCGUUUGUUGGCCCCGAGGCAACUCCUGAGGCGCAGACGCGCUUGGGGCAUUUUCAGGGCACUCAGAGUCCCUGUGCCGGAAGGUUCCGGAUGCUGGCGGGCUGCCCGUCAUGGGAAAAGUUCCGAGGGGUUUCGCGCAGGCCGUGGCAGGCAUGCAGAACAGAUGCAGGCGGGUGUCCCCCAGGCAGCUCCGGUUGGGACCUAACCAGGUGGGUGAUCCCGGAGCUGGGCGCUGGCACAGGCGGGGACGGGUCACCAGCCCAGGGGAGCUGGAGCACAGUCCCGAGGCCCGAAGCUGCCCCUGGCACGCACCCGCAGCAGCGGCUCAGCCCAGCACGUUGGCGAGAAGCUGAGGCCUCACAGACACGGUGCAGCCGUGUCCACGUUCUCCGGGGGUGGGGUGGGGCGAGCUGAGGGCAGGCGGCCAGGAGAGAGCCCUCCACCCACCCAUGCCAACGCCCGCCACUUUGGGAUGAUUUUGUGAAGCUAAUGGUGACUGAGCAGCAAAGGGACUCGAGUCUUGUCAUUCCUCCUGACGGGCUUGGAGAAGACAGUGGCAUUGGUGGCGAUCGUGUUCCUCAAAGUCUGCAGAUGUGAGGCCGACAAGAGGUUGUAAGUGCCCACGGGACUGUGGAGGAGACAAACCUAGGAGGUGCCAAUUUUUUGCUUUGCCAAAUAUGUGAAGAGAGAACCACCAGAAAGAAGCCAGAUGCAAAAUGCCACAGUGUGUGAGUCCAUUUUUGUGCUACACCCAGAACAGGCAACUCCACAGGGACAGACAGCAGACUGUAGGUGCCGGGGGCGGGGGGCUGCUGACAGGGGUGUGGUCUCCACGGGGGCUGAUGAGCAAGUGCUGGAACCAGACAGUGGUGAUGGGGGCACAUCACCGGCUGGAUUAAAUGCUCCUGAAUUUUAAAGGUAAAUGUUCUGUAUGUUUUCACCACAAUAAGAAAACCGUGGCCUUCUUUCAUCAUUUCAGAGAAGGGUUAGACAGAGGACGUGGGCUCCCAAGGAAGGGGCUGAGGUGCCCUCACACAGCCACACAUGCACCUGAGGCGAGGCGCCAGCUUCUGGAAGGUCCACACAUCAGGGCGGGCGCCCCCAGGGACAGAGCAUCUGGGUGUGGCCACAUGGGUCAGGGUGGCACCGGGCAGUCCUCAGGGCUCGGGUCUCCUGUGAGGUUGUUGUGGGCGGAGGGGGCGAUUCUGUUCUUUCAUUUACUUUGUAUUAAUUCCCACUCUGUUGUCUUUGGUAAACUUGCUCAUACUCAUUACAAAGAACUCAGGCCAAGUAUCAAGAGUUUGGAAGUCGCUAAAACAGCCCAGAAACAGCAUGGCCAACGCCAUGUGCCCGCCAUCCGGUCUCAGGUCCUGACGGACGGCGACGGGAAGACAAGCAGAAACGCCUUAUUCGGAGGAGGUCCCGGGCAAGCUGUUUUCAACAGAAAGCCUCACAUUUUAUUUGCUUGAAUUUAACAGAAGGAAAAAUAAACGAAGUGAAACUGAA
Long non-coding RNA from Hipposideros armiger (great roundleaf bat), 1806 nucleotides. RefSeq lists it as uncharacterized. NCBI's taxonomy places the organism in Eukaryota, Metazoa, Chordata, Mammalia, Chiroptera, Hipposideridae. The transcript is spliced from 2 exons. The record is from RefSeq and is a predicted model, not a curated record.